RNAcentral lists this long non-coding RNA (518 nucleotides) under Vombatus ursinus (common wombat). RNAcentral's name for it is "lncRNA (ENSVURG00010020124.1)". Lineage: Eukaryota; Metazoa; Chordata; Mammalia; Diprotodontia; Vombatidae. The record is from RNAcentral.
AGGGCUGAUAUCUAGAGUCCUAUCCUGAAAAGACUUCUAACACAGCUCAGCUAUGGUCGUAUUAUGGAAAUUGUGGUACAAGAACCCUUGAGAACUGAGUGAACAGCAGGGGGCAGUGUUGGCCCAAUAGAACUGGUAAGAUGCAGCCCUGGCCCAACCUGGAAGAAGAAAUCGACUUACUGGCUAACAUGCUGGCCCAUCAAGACCCUGUCCCCCAUCGCCAGGAUACUGUCCCCCAGCGCUUCCGCUGGCCUGCAGCCACCCUGGUGUCCCCAGGACAGGAGCCUGAUACCCCAUCCCCUCAGGGCGCUCAAGUUCCCACCGUCAGAGCCUCUCAUUCAUCUUCGAGGCCUGUGGAGAUGUCACCUGUGGAUCCCCCACACCCAUCUAAUGAUGUCCUCGUUCUCAUGAUGAUCGUGGUCUGUGCAGUGGCUGGGCUCUCGGCGCUGGUUGUAGCUGUUGUCUGCUGGUGCAGGUGAGACCCUGGUGAGACCCCCCACCUCCUAUGGGCAUGCACC